RNAcentral lists this ribosomal RNA (193 nucleotides) under uncultured bacterium. RNAcentral's name for it is "partial 16S ribosomal RNA". It matches the Rfam family "Bacterial small subunit ribosomal RNA", at positions 338 to 523 of the family's 1533-position model. The record is from RNAcentral.
CCUACGGGAGGCAGCAGUGGGGAAUUUUGGACAAUGGGGGCAACCCUGAUCCAGCAAUGCCGCGUGAGUGAAGAAGGCCUUCGGGUUGUAAAGCUCUUUCGUCAGGGAAGAAACGGUGAGGUCUAAUACACUUUACUAAUGACGGUACCUGAAGAAUAAGCACCGGCUAACUACGUGCCAGCAGCCGCGGUAA